AGUUAUAUAGUAUAAAAUUUAAAUACGUUAUUUUUUCAUAAUAAAAAUGAGUUAGAUAUAACUCUGUAGCUA
RNAcentral lists this transfer RNA (72 nucleotides) under Albinaria caerulea. RNAcentral's name for it is "tRNA-Glu". Lineage: Eukaryota; Metazoa; Mollusca; Gastropoda; Stylommatophora; Clausiliidae. The record is from RNAcentral.